AUGGUGGUUUGGGUGCUGGGGGCCCCUGGCUGCACCCCUGGGGUGGUGGUUUGGGUGCUGGGGGCCCCUGGCUGCACCCCUGGGGUGGUGGUUUGGGUGCUGGGGGCCCCUGGCUGCACCCCUGGGGUGGUGGUUUGGGUGCUGGGGGCCCCUGGCUGCACCCCUGGGGUGGUGGUUUGGGUGCUGGGGGCCCCUGGCUGCACCCCUGGGGUGGUGGUUUGGGUGCUGGGGGCCCCUGGCUGCACCCCUGGGGUGGUGGUUUGGGUGCUGGGGGCCCCUGGCUGCACCCCUGGGGUGGUGGUUUGGGUGCUGGGGGCCCCUGGCUGCACCCCUGGGGUGGUGGUUUGGGUGCUGGGGGCCCCUGGCUGCACCCCUGGGGUGGUGGUUUGGGUGCUGGGGGCCCCUGGCUGCACCCCUGGGGUGGUGGUUUGGGUGCUGGGGGCCCCUGGCUGCACCCCUGGGGUGGUGGUUUGGGUGCUGGGGGCCCCUGGCUGCACCCCUGGGGUGGUGGUUUGGGUGCUGGGGGCCCCUGGCUGCACCCCUGGGGUGGUGGUUUGGGUGCUGGGGGCCCCUGGCUGCACCCCUGGGGUGGUGGUUUGGGUGCUGGGGGCCCCUGGCUGCACCCCUGGGGUGGUGGUUUGGGUGCUGGGGGCCCCUGGCUGCACCCCUGGGGUGGUGGUUUGGGUGCUGGGGGCCCCUGGCUGCACCCCUGGGGUGGUGGUUUGGGUGCUGGGGGCCCCUGGCUGCACCCCUGGGGUGGAGGUCUGGGUGUCAGGGGCCCCUGACUCUGUCCCCAGUGUGGUGGUCUUGAUGCCAGGGGAUUCUGUCUGUGUCCCCAGGGUGAUGGCACAGGCAUCAGAAGUCUUUGUCUCUUCUGAGGAAGUGUCUGCCCCCUUCUCAGGGGCCACUGGUGCUCUCUGUGUCUCCAGGGAGCCAGGCUGUGUCUGUGGAGUCCCCCUGCCGGUCCCUUUGCUGGUCCUCGGUACAGCCUGUGUCCCUGGUCCCUUCAGUCCCAGCACUGAGCUUGCCCCAUGUGGCGUGUCCAUGUCUGCAGUGGGAGGCUCGGCGGGGACAGCCUGA
Molecule: long non-coding RNA, 1080 nt
Filed under: Athene cunicularia (burrowing owl)
Lineage: Eukaryota; Metazoa; Chordata; Aves; Strigiformes; Strigidae
Description: lncRNA (ENSACUG00000000470.1)
Source: RNAcentral